RNAcentral lists this signal recognition particle RNA (147 nucleotides) under Chlorocebus sabaeus (green monkey). Its description in RNAcentral is "Metazoan signal recognition particle RNA". It matches the Rfam family "Metazoan signal recognition particle RNA". Rfam says of the family: The signal recognition particle (SRP) is a universally conserved ribonucleoprotein. It is involved in the co-translational targeting of proteins to membranes. Lineage: Eukaryota; Metazoa; Chordata; Mammalia; Primates; Cercopithecidae. The record is from Rfam by way of RNAcentral.
GCCGGGCAUGGUGGCACGUACCUGUAAUCCCAGCUACUCAGGAGGCUGAGGCAGGAGAAUUGCUUGAACCCGGGAGGCGGAGUUGCGGUGAGCCAAGCUCAUGCCACUGAACUCCAGCCUGGGUGACAGAGCAAGAUUCUGUCUCAA